CUUUAGUCAAUUUCAGAGACUCAAAGACUCAAUCCAAAAUUGAAUCUUUUUUUCUUUUUUUCAAAUCAAUAGAAGCAAACAAACAUUGUGGGCUGCUAAUUUCAUCCAUGAACCCGUUAGAGCAUUUUAUGAGAUACUAAUUUCAUCAAUGAUACAAUAAAGCUCAAAUGCAUGAGAUGCGAGUGAAGGACAAUCAUUUCCCCUUGGUGUGGCUUGUGGCGAACAUAGCAAACAGGUAGCUGUGUCAGUUUACAUCAGACAGAACAACCUUUUACUUCUUUCACUACAUUGGUUUGGCCCAACAAGAACCUCUUUUUUUUUUAUUCUUAUCUUCAACUUCCACCAGGGAUGGAUGCUAGUGAUUGUAACACUGCCAGUGCCAGUGAACACAAAUCUAUUAAUGACCAAACCAUUUCCUAGCAGGACUACUCUCCCUGCUUAUCUGUUCCAACUUUCACUGAAACCUUUAUCUACGCCAAAAGGCCAUGAAAAACUUUCCUCAUUUGAACAAAAGUACAGCUAACCCCACCUCCUUCGACAAUGAAUAGUGUUGUUUCAAAAUGAAUGGUUUGCCUUUGAUUGCUCUAGGAAAAUGAACAAAAAAUUCAAAUAUGGAAGUUAACAAGCUAAAUGACUAAAAACCCAUUCACAGGUGAUGACUGCUGAAUUCCUUCACCCCGGAUCAGGGGCUUGACCACAGCCCAAGGCCCAUGACGUAGAGGCCCACACACACCUGAUAUAUAUAACAAGCCUGGCUCAUCCAACCUUCAAAGCCGGGCUCGACCCAUCUUCCUCACUCAAGCCGGCCCGGCCCGCACGAAGCAGGCCCUCUCCACUCAGGCUUAGCAUCCGGCCCAACUCUCAGCCCAGUCCAGGAUCCAGAAUAAUAUUCACUAGACAGCCUGGCAGAUCCGCUCGAACGUACGCACGAGGAGAAUCAGAGGCCGUUAUGCAUGGAGCAUGCGGCUGAUACCCUAGUACCUCCGAAUCCGCAUGGCAGAGACGCGUGGCCCAAUCCUGGAGAGACCUUUACACGUCACCAGCAGGCAAGAUAAUGUAUAAAAGAGGAGUCCCCUCCUCAGAAAGCUUAAGCCUUAUUCAGUAAUACAAAACCCUUGUAAAACCCUAUUCUAUUGGAUCUCAGAUCAUCAACAGGAAAAUCAAAAUAUGACAACAGUAACUUGUUGCCUCCAUCAUGAAUGCAACUGGAAAAUGGAAUGACAGCAGUAGCUGUACCAAAAUUUUUAUGAUGGCAUCCCAACCGCCUAUCACAUUAUUACAUAUAUUGUACAGAUAUGAAACAGUAAUAAUUUUUGCCUCUUGUUUAUUCCAUUACUCCCCUGUUCUGAUAUUCUGCAAAGGAAAUAAAUUAUCACAUGCUUUAAAAUAAAAUACGCCAGCUGCUCAAAAAUCAAAUUUUAAUUUACACUGGCCCCCUAAAGUUCCACAAUCUUUAUAAGCAUCUUAGCAAGAGAGGAAAAAUAAACUAAAACAAAAUAGUCACCCUAAAAAGGUUCUUAACAUACUAAGAAAAAUAAUUUGUCUCACACCCAAUUGCAAAGUGAGUGUGGAAAUGGAGAUACAAUGUACAGAUGCCAACAAACAACAGUUAGAUUCCACAUUAUACCGAUUAGCCAACCAACUGCAUAACCCAAGCAAACAUGCAAAUAUGAGGACUUCAUUCAGUUGACAAGUUACUAUACUGCCAAGGAUUGAAUUCGAUUGACUGGACAUCAACCUCCACUAUGCUGUCUGAGUUGUCCACAACAGCCCUAUGUUCAGCGUAUUUACCGUUGUACUGGUAAACUUCCAAGUCACCCCAUGGAGUUGGGGUAACCUCAUCAGUCAUAUCAAAC
RNAcentral lists this long non-coding RNA (1856 nucleotides) under Manihot esculenta (cassava). RNAcentral's name for it is "long non-coding RNA (MESC_LNC000577)". The record is from RNAcentral. Lineage: Eukaryota; Viridiplantae; Streptophyta; Magnoliopsida; Malpighiales; Euphorbiaceae.